This 1757-nucleotide ribosomal RNA is filed under the name Polysphondylium sp. RNAcentral describes it as "SSU rRNA". It matches the Rfam family "Eukaryotic small subunit ribosomal RNA". The record is from RNAcentral. Lineage: Eukaryota; Evosea; Eumycetozoa; Dictyosteliales; Dictyosteliaceae.
CAUGCAUGUCUAAGUAUAAAUUCUUGUACGAUGAAACUGCAGACGGCUCAUUACAACAGUGAUAAACUAAUAGACUUUCGGGUUUUACCUUUUGGAUAACCGCAGUAAAUCGGGGCUAAUACAUAGAAGCGAGGGGUGACUGAUUUAUCGGAAGCUCCGCGAUUAUUAGCAUUCAACCAAUACCCGCAAGGGUUCUGUUGGUGAAACCGAAUAAUAUUGCAGAUCGAAGAUUUAUCUUCGACAAGUCUACUGUGUCACUGCCCUAUCAACUUUCGAUGGUACGGUAUUGGCCUACCAUGGUUGUAACGGGUAACGGGGAAUUAGGGUUCGAUUCCGGAGAGGGAGCCUGAGAAAUGGCUACCACUUCUACGGAAGGCAGCAGGCGCGCAAAUUACUCAAUCCCAAUACGGGGAAGUAGUGACAAUAAAUAUCGAUGCCUAUCCAUUUUUGGAAGGGUAAUUGAAAUGAACACAAAUUAAAACUCUUAAUUAAUACAAUUGGAGGGCAAGUCUGGUGCCAGCAGCCGCGGUAAUUCCAGCUCCAAUAGCAUAUACUAAAGUUGUUGCAGUUAAAAAGCUCGUAGUUGAAGUUAAAGCUUUAUUUGGGUUAAAAAUCCAUUUGCCUUUUAACGGUUAAAUAGGAUUCCAGUAUUGCUUUUUUAAAGUUCAGUUGGUAUUGCCUUUGGUAGUACUUAUUUGGACAUUUCACUGUGAGAAAAUUGUGGUGUUUAAAGCAGGCGUCUCUGUCUGAUCUUUUGCAGCAUGGUAUGAUGGAACAUGACAUUUUGCGCAAUUGGUUGCGAUUAAAGUGUAAUGAUUAAUAGGGAUGGAUGGGGGUGUUCAUAUUGGUGGGCGAGAGGUGAAAUUCGUUGACCCUAUCAAGAUGAACUUCUGCGAAAGCAUUCACCAAAUACUUCCCCAUUAAUCAAGAACGAAAGUUUGGGGAUCGAAGACGAUCAGAUACCGUCGUAGUCCAAACUAUAAACUAUGUCGACCAGGGAUCGGUUAAAUCUUUUUAAAAGUUUAAUCGGCACCUUGUGAGAAAUCACGAGUGUUUAGAUUCCGGGGGGAGUAUGGUCGCAAGUCUGAAACUUAAAGGAAUUGACGGAAGGGCACACAAUGGAGUGGAGCCUGCGGCUUAAUUUGACUCAACUCGGGAAAACUUACCAAGCUAAGAUAUAGUAAGGAUUGACAGACUAAGAGAUCUUUCAUGAUUCUAUAAGUGGUGGUGCAUGGUCGUUCUUAGUUGGUGGAGCGAUUUGUCUGGUCAAUUCCGAUAACGGACGAGACCUCGACCUGCUAACUAGUAGUAUUUAUUGGCCGUUAUGGAUGAUAGCUAUUCGGGGUUUGGAAGGGUUUCGGCUCUCUCCGCUUCGUGUGGUGUGUAAUCUGGUCGGAUAGGUACGAAUUAAAACUUCUUAGAGGGACUACCUGCCUCAAGCAGGCGGAAGUCCGAGGCAAUAACAGGUCUGUGAUGCCCUUAGAUACCUUGGGCCGCACGCGCGCUACAAUGUAGAAAGCAAAAAGGUUCCUGGUCCGGAAGGAUUGGGUAAUCAAUUGAAUUUUCUACGUAACUGGGAUUGAUCUUUGUAAUUAUUGAUCAUCAACGAGGAAUUCCUUGUAAGCGUAAGUCAUUACCUUAUGCUGAAUAUGUCCCUGCCCUUUGUACACACCGCCCGUCGCUCCUACCGAUCGAAUGAUACGGUAAAGCCAACGGAUAAGAUCCUUUUGGGCAACCAAUUGGAUUUUAAAAGUUGU